UCGAGGGCAGCCCCUGGCGGCGGGCGCAGCCGCUCCGGAAUCCGACUGAGUCCGCCGAGCCCUGGUGUCGCGGAGCUCCGGCCAGAGGGUUGGAAAGAAGGAGAGUGGAAGCGGAACUGGGACAUCAGUUUUGGAGCCGCUGAAGCCUUAUUUGAGCUACAGCAGAUCCAGCAUCAUCUGUCUUACCAGCGGCACCAGUGAAACUUCUGGCCAAGUGCAGGGCAGCCCCGUGCUAUGACACCAAAUGCCAAGCCAUCCUGCCCCUCUCUCCCCACCAUCUUACAGAGUCGAGGCACUGAGAGAUCAUCUAUGACAACACCUACUAUGAAAAGGAGCUCCAACUCUCCAAGGCCUACCAACAGGUUCAGGCAAAGACACAAUGCACACUGGUAAGUGACCUUUCCAUCUGGUUUGAUGAUGAGGUGAUGCACCAAAUUCCAGCUGGUAAAUUCAGACCUUCUGGUGGACCAAGGGACAUUUCAAUUUUAGGGGACUCUGUUAAUAGACCAGAUGGUCUGCAGGUACUUCUGGAAGUCCAAACUGUGGGACCAAGGGAUGAGAUUACAGUGACUGUCAUAUGUGUAGACCUGCCUUGGUUUUUGCCUAAGGGCACAUCCAUCACCCAAGUUUUUCCUCAUACGCACCUGGACUGACCUUUUGCUGGAAAUUGGUAUGGCUUUUUAGGCAGAGAUGGUAGGCCAGGACAGACGUCUUAUAGAGUGUGGCUUGUUUAACAAAGAGGAGAAAGUUUAUCUUCCAGGUGUGGCAGAUACCAGAGCAGAUGUGAUCAUCAUUGCCAUCCACAGGGCUGAGAGCUAGUGCCAGCCAAUGCAGUCAUCUCUGGGAUUGGAGGAACUGCCACCUCUAUGCGGACCAAACCCACAAUCCUUAUUAAACGUCCUGACGGUCAGAUUGCCACAGUAAGACCUUUUGUAGUAAGGCCACCUAUCAGCUUAUGGGGCAGGGACCUAUUGUCUUAAUGAGGGGCAAGGCUGAAAAUCCCCUCACCACCACAGGACUUUUAGCUGGGAGCGCUCCACCACACCACUCAUAUGGAAAACUGAUCAACCAGAGUGGAUUGACCAGUGGCCCCUCUCAGAAAUAGUUAAAGGUGCUCGAGUCCCUAGUGCAAGAGCAAUUGUCCAAGGGCCACAUAGUACCAUCCACUAGCCCUUGGAACACCCUUGUCUUUGUCAUUCAUAAACCACACAAAGACAAGUGGAGGCUUCUGCAAGACCUCAGGAUGGUCAAUGAGGUCAUUGAAGACAUGGGCUCUCUGCAGCCUGGCCUACUCUCAUCCUCAAUGCUCCUGAGAGAGUGGAAACUGGCAGUCAUUGAUAUCAGAGAUUGCUCUUUUAACAUCCCUCUCCAUCUCAGAGAUCCCCCAAGAUUUGCAUUUUCCAUCCCAUCAAUUAAAAGGCAAGCCCGUCUAAAAAGGUAUCAAUGGCAAGUUCUUCCCUGAGGGAUGAAAAAUUCUCCAGCUAUCUGCCAAAUGUUUGUUGCCCGCAUUCUCUUGUCUAUCCAAGAGAAAUCUCCUAAGUUUGGAAAUCAAUUUUGUACUAUAUGGAUGAUAUUGUAAUAUACACUGAGACUAAUAUUGGGAGAUUUGUUUUCAAAAAGACUAUUCAAGACAUUGAAGGAGCAGGAUUUGAAAUUGUUACAGAGAAGAUUCAACACACCUGCCCUUGGACCUACCUACCUUGGAUACUGGAUCAGCAAAAGGACUAUCGUACUCCAGCAACUCACCAUCAAGGACAGCCUGAGAACACUGAGAGACAUACACCAGUUAUGUGGGAGCAUAAACUGGGUUCGUCUGCUGCUAGGGAUCACGACCGAGGACCUCGCACUCCCUUUCAACCCCCUGUGAGGCUGUGGUGACCUUGACUUGCCAUGAACACCCGAGGCUCAGGUGGCAAUCUGAAAUGUAUCAGAGGCACUUUUCACAAUACAGGCCCACCACACUGAUCCUACCCUGCCUUUCCAAUUUGUCAUCUUAGGUAAGUCACCCAAAUUUCAUGGGCUCAUUUUCCAGUGGGACCCCACUCUGAGGGACCAGCUUUUAAUCAUAGAAUGGGUAUUCCAAUCACAUCAACCAAAUAAAGCUAAAACAAUACACCUAGGAACUGAUGGCUCAGCUCAUUAUAAAGGCCAGAGCAUCCCUCAGGAUCCUAGUGGGGUGUAAGUUCACAUGCAUUUACCUUCCACUGACAUUAGGUAGUCUGGAAGCUUUGCUCCAGACCUAUGAACACCUCCAGUUCACUCUUGACAGCUACCCAGGUCAAAUCUCUAUCCACCUACCAAAACAUUAAAACUAUUUAAUGCAUGUUUUAAUUUGGUCCCAAAAUCAUUAAAGAGUCAAACUCCUUUAAAGGCAAUGACUCUUUUUACUGAUGGCUCUGGAGAACCCCACAAGUCUGUUAUGACUUGGAAAAAUCCUGACACUCAGGAGUGGGAGUCCAAUGUCCAGGUUGUUCAGGGAUUCCCACAAAUUGCAGAAUUAGCAGUCAUCGUCAGAGUCUUUGAGAAGUUCAGACAACCCUUAAAUCUGGUUACGGAUUCAGCCUAUGUUGCUGGGAUAGCUGAAAGAGCAGAACAUUCUUUGUUAAAAGAGGUGUCAAAUCCAAAUAUAUAUAGCUUGCUCUCAAAGUUAGUUUAUCUCCUCUCUCCCACAAAGAGCAACCAUAUCACAUUAUGCACGUGAGGUCACACACCAGCCCCCAAAGACCAGUGACAGAGGGUAACUGGACAACUGGUACUUUGGCCAUGGCAGUGCAGACCACCCUGCCAGACAUCUUCUGUCAGGCAAAGUUGAGCCACCAGUUUUUCAACCAGAAUGUGCCAGCCCUUGUUUGUUUGUGUAAAAUCACAGGGGAGCAGGCGAGAGCAAUUGUGGGCUCCUGCCCCAAUUGCCAGGAUUAUGCUAUGCCAUCUAUGGGGACCAGGGUUAAUCCCUGGGGCCUCAAGAGUUUAAAACUGUGG
Molecule: non-coding RNA, 2979 nt
Organism: Cyanistes caeruleus (blue tit)
Lineage: Eukaryota; Metazoa; Chordata; Aves; Passeriformes; Paridae
Source: RefSeq, a predicted model, not a curated record